This 37-nucleotide unclassified non-coding RNA is filed under the name synthetic construct. Its description in RNAcentral is "RNA (37-MER) from synthetic construct (PDB 6E8U, chain B)". The record is from RNAcentral.
GUACGAAGGAAGGUUUGGUAUGGGGUAGUUGUCGUAC